CAGAGCGAGAUUCCAUCUAAAAAAAAAGAAAGAAAAAAGAAAAGAAACAUUUGUUUUAUAAUCUGUUGCUUAUACAUUCCUGGAGAUUAGUACACCCAUGUGAUGUCUUUCCAAUAUAUCACUUCUCUAUGGAGUUGAUCAAGAUCAGCAAGCAUGACUUCAUUCUCCUUCUAUCCCCGGCUCUCAUGCAGUGUCUGGUGCACAGCAGAUGUGCAGCAAAUCCUGAAUUACAACAUCACUCAGGAGCUGUGGGCACUAAUAUACACAUGAUGAUACUUAAUUCUCUCAGAAAACCUUUGGCAAAGACACUUUCUACAUCUUGAAGGCAAGGAAUCUGAAUCUUGAAGAGAUUAAAUGAAUUGUCCAAAGUCACGUGGGGGUUUGGGAGAAGGAAAAUCAUGAACACACAUUCUUCUACUCUGGAGAAGUGGGGAAGGUGACCUGGGAAACCAUCUGAAAGGGAGCAGGAUGGAUUCUAUAAAAUAUAGAGUGUUCAAUGAAAACAACCUGAUGCUCCUCCCAGUACCAUCACAUUUUUCUAGCUGCAUAUCCUUAGGAACCACAUUCUACUUGUGUAGGAGCUGCGACAGUAACCAACUCAUCCUGCCCUACUCACAGUAUAGCAUCUUUAGGCAUUGACUACAAUCAGCCAAGUCACCGGCUGAGGGGAAGAACAAGAACCAACCUUGAACUAUGAUCUAAGACAAGUUCCUCAAGAACUCUGUAGGAGUCAUCAUUACCUCAUUUAGUCUCCUCAGCAACAAAUAAGAGAAAUAUUAUCUCCAUUUUACAGAAGCACAGACUGCAGAGAUUGAGUUCCCCCAGGAGCACACAAGCUGUACUGUACCUAAGGUCCUAAAACAUAUUGGUGAUAUGGAAGGUAGACAAAAUGGCCAAAUAGAAGCCUUCACCCAUUGUUCUCCCUGCAGAAACACUAAAUUGAACAACUAUCCACACAUAAAUCACCUUCAUAUGAAGCAAAAAUCAGCCACAUUAAACAAUGAUGAGUUCAAAUGGAAACAUACAGCCUUUCAACACUGGCUCCAAGAGAUGGCAUCUAGAAGAAACAGACUGAUUCUGCAGAGUUCUGAAGGGAGCAGGUGACUUAGCAAUUCUGUCUUCAGUUUCUCUGUGAACAUCAUCAAUGUUUUCCUGUGCUCCAGUUGUCAAACUUCAUCAGCGAAAUGUUGGGGUCAUUUAAAGCUGCUGCUUUGCAUUCACUGAAACGACUAACAACCACAAGGAAACAUGAUUUCUCCGACAGCAAUGAAUAAAACAAUUGCCUGACUAAAGAGGAGAUAUCCUCUUUAGAUAAAACGACUGAAGACCCAUUACCAAAAUAGGGAAAAAGAAACAAUCUCUAUGAAAGAGUUUCAAAUAAAAAUAUGUAGGUGCUUUGGA
Molecule: long non-coding RNA, 1401 nt
Filed under: Homo sapiens (human)
Lineage: Eukaryota; Metazoa; Chordata; Mammalia; Primates; Hominidae
Description: HSALNT0348044
Source: RNAcentral